UGGUAUAUAGUUUAUUCAAAACAAAUGAUUUCGACUCAUUAGAUUAUGAAAAUUCAUAUUUACCAAUA
Molecule: transfer RNA, 68 nt
Filed under: Cebuella pygmaea (pygmy marmoset)
Lineage: Eukaryota; Metazoa; Chordata; Mammalia; Primates; Cebidae
Also listed under: 1 other name
Description: tRNA-Arg
Rfam family: tRNA
About the family: Transfer RNA (tRNA) molecules are approximately 80 nucleotides in length.
Source: RNAcentral